Molecule: ribosomal RNA, 493 nt
Filed under: uncultured bacterium
Lineage: Bacteria
Description: partial 16S ribosomal RNA
Rfam family: Bacterial small subunit ribosomal RNA
Source: RNAcentral
AGUGAACGCUGGCGGUAGGCCUAACACAUGCAAGUCGAACGGCAGCACAGUAAGAGCUUGCUCUUACGGGUGGCGAGUGGCGGACGUGUGAGGAAUACAUCGGGCUCUACUUUUUCGUGGGGGAUAACGUAGGGAAACUUACGCUAAUACCGCAUACGACCUACGGGUGAAAGCAGGGGAUCUUCGGACCUUGCGCGAUUGAAUGAGCCGGUGUCGGAUUAGCUAGUUGGCGGGGUAAAGGCCCACCAAGGCGGCGAUCCGUAGCUGGUCUGAGAGGAUGGGUAGCCGGCCUGGGAGUGAGACAGGGUCCAUAGGGCCUGGGGGAGGGGCAAGAGGGAAAAGUGGGGCAGGGGUGGGAAACUUUGCCCACCAGGCCGAGGCGGUGAAGAAGGACUUCGGGUUGUAAAUCACUGUUGUUGGGAAAGAAAAGCAGCAGGUUAAUACCCCGCUGUUCUGACGGUACCCAAAUAAUAAGCACCGGCUAACUUCGUGC